Zophobas morio is the source of this 366-nucleotide long non-coding RNA. RefSeq lists it as uncharacterized. The transcript is spliced from 4 exons. The record is from RefSeq and is a predicted model, not a curated record. NCBI's taxonomy places the organism in Eukaryota, Metazoa, Arthropoda, Insecta, Coleoptera, Tenebrionidae.
GACCUCCUAGGAUCUGAAGGCUCACGCAAGGUGUAGUUGCCUCUUGUACUGUUCCGACCCUGACUAGGAAACUAGGACUCCUUGACCUUUUUACGCCAGCUAACUUGAACUUAAGGAAAAAGUGGAGUUGUGUUUACCCUCUUUACAGUCGAGCGAUAUGGUUAAUAAGAGUAGAGGCGACGUUUCAAAAUACUCAAUCUGUUUAGCCCCGAUACUAUAGAUGAUGUAAAUGAAUAGUAACCAAACUCCAGUAAACAAUGCUAAUUCAGCUUGAGGAGUUUUUUCCUAUGCUUGGAAGCUUGCUACAUGCACACUUCUUUUCAGAACUUGUUUUCCCUCAACAAUACGAAAAUGACUAUAAACUAU